RNAcentral lists this ribosomal RNA (453 nucleotides) under Triticum aestivum (bread wheat). RNAcentral describes it as "partial small subunit ribosomal RNA". Lineage: Eukaryota; Viridiplantae; Streptophyta; Magnoliopsida; Poales; Poaceae. The record is from RNAcentral.
AUGGCUUCCGCCGUCGCUUCCAAGGGUGCCGCGCUGCCCAGCUUCCCCAAGAAGCUGCUCGCCGAGCCGUCCGCGUCCGGUGCGCCCGUGGCCUUCUACGCGCCUCGCCCCGCCGCGGUCAGCCCCGCCCGCGGCCCGAACAGCACCCAGGGCAAGGAGCCCCGCUGGUACGACGACGACUCCAGCGACAGCGAGGACGAGGACGCCGACGCCGGCUACCGCCGCCCCGCCCGCGCCCGCGACUUCGUCGUCCCCAGCUUCCCCUCGCAGGAUGUGCUCGACCCGGUAGGCAUCCCGGCAUGCGUGGACCGUCUGUACGCUCUGAUGGAGGACGGUGCCGCCCCGCCCGGCCUCUCCUCCGCGGCAGGGGCGCCGCGGCGGGGGUGGUGGGUGGAGAAGGACGACGACGACGCGGUGUACCUGACGGUGCCGAUGCUGGGGCUCGGGAAGUAG